Vitis vinifera (wine grape) is the source of this 1088-nucleotide long non-coding RNA. RefSeq lists it as uncharacterized. The transcript has 2 exons. Lineage: Eukaryota; Viridiplantae; Streptophyta; Magnoliopsida; Vitales; Vitaceae. The record is from RefSeq and is a predicted model, not a curated record.
UUAUCCUAAUCUUCAACAGUUAGUGAUAGAAGAGACUUCUUGGUGUAAAUCCUUGUCCACCUAUAUCCCACACCAUUCUUACAAAAGUGUCAGUUCUCAUUUACUUAAGAAAUGUCUGGAAGUGUCCAGUUUGGACACUUGCAAGAGAAAGUGUACAUGAACAUACAGGAUACUCCUCCCUGUCAAAGUUGGUAAUUGGAGACUUCUUGGUGUAAAUCCUUGUACACCUGUGUCUGAUACCAAUUCUUACGGUCAUGAAGUGUUAAGUUUUAUUUAGUUGAACUUGUCUGGAAGAACAGUUAUACUAUGCAUUUUCAUUAUCAAUUCUGUAAUAAUAUUAUAAUAUCUUCAUUAUGUGCUCUUCUUGUUCUUUGCUUCUGCAUGUCACAAAAACACAAAAUAAAUGAAUAGAAAAUCCACAAAUUUCUUGAGACUUUGUGUUGAAUGUGACACUUCCUUCCAAGAAAGGGGAAAUUUUUUUUAUCACAAUGUAGUCACUUACAGGAGCAGAUCAUAAAUUCAAAACUUGAGCUUGUUGGGCUGUGGGGUGGGGGGGUUCCCACCACUUACUUGUCCUCCUGUUGGGAGCCUCUUUUUAGUCAUUGAGGCUUUGGCAUGUGGGGGAAGAGAGACUUCACAAAAGGCUUGCUAUAUGGAAGAGGCAGUAGCUUUUAGUGGACAGUAGCCUCACAUUGAUCAAGAGCACUUUAUUUGGUUGCCAAUAUAUUUAUAUCAUUGUUUGUCAUCCUAAGAAAGAUGAGAUUGAGAUUAGAGCAGAUUCAAAGGGACUUCCUUUGGGAAGGUGGAGUUCUUGAGACUUGGGAUUAGAGAUAUAUUCUUAAAUAAGGCUUUAUUUGGUAAGUGGAAUUGGGGGUUUGCUAUAGAAAGUGUGAUGGGGGAAAGCCUUUUAAAGUUUAUUCAAGGAAGAAAGGGAAGACCUAAGUAAACUUUAAGUAGGAUUAAUAUAAUUAGAAUUUGAGUCAUGAUAGGUUAUUAGAGUCCUAGUAGAAUAGGUUAUUAGAGUCCUAGUAGACUUUGGAUUUCUUAGAGAAGCCUAUAAAUAGGCUAAUCAAUGUAAAUCAAAGGAA